CUGGAAACGGUAGCUAAUACCGCAUAACGUCGCAAGACCAAAGAGGGGGACCUUCGGGCCUCUUGCCAUCGGAUGUGCCCAGAUGGGAUUAGCUAGUAGGUGGGGUAAAGGCUCACCUAGGCGACGAUCCCUAGCUGGUCUGAGAGGAUGACCAGCCACACUGGAACUGAGACACGGUCCAGACUCCUACGGGAGGCAGCAGUGGGGAAUAUUGCACAAUGGGCGCAAGCCUGAUGCAGCCAUGCCGCGUGUAUGAAGAAGGCCUUCGGGUUGUAAAGUACUUUCAGCGGGGAGGAAGGGAGUAAAGUUAAUACCUUUGCUCAUUGACGUUACCCGCAGAAGAAGCACCGGCUAACUCCGUGCCAGCAGCCGCGGUAAUACGGAGGGUGCAAGCGUUAAUCGGAAUUACUGGGCGUAAAGCGCACGCAGGCGGUUUGUUAAGUCAGAUGUGAAAUCCCCGGGCUCAACCUGGGAACUGCAUCUGAUACUGGCAAGCUUGAGUCUCGUAGAGGGGGGUAGAAUUCCAGGUGUAGCGGUGAAAUGCGUAGAGAUCUGGAGGAAUACCGGUGGCGAAGGCGGCCCCCUGGACGAAGACUGACGCUCAGGUGCGAAAGCGUGGGGAGCAAACAGGAUUACAUACCCUGGUAGUCCACGCCGUAAACGAUGUCGACUUGGAGGUUGUGCCCUUGAGGCGUGGCUUCCGGAGCUAACGCGUGAAGUCGACCGCCUGGGGAGUACGGCCGCAAGGUGAAAACUCAAAUGAAUUGACGGGGGCCCGCACAAGCGGUGGAGCAUGUGGUUUAAUUCGAUGCAACGCGAAGAACCUUACCUGGUCUUGACAUCCACGGAAGUUUUCAGAGAUGAGAAUGUGCCUUCGGGAACCGUGAGACAGGUGCUGCAUGGCUGUCGUCAGCUCGUGUUGUGAAAUGUUGGGUUAAGUCCCGCAACGAGCGCAACCCUUAUCCUUUGUUGCCAGCGGUCCGGCCGGGAACUCAAAGGAGACUGCCAGUGAUAAACUGGAGGAAGGUGGGGAUGACGUCAAGUCAUCAUGGCCCUUACGACCAGGGCUACACACGUGCUACAAUGGCGCAUACAAAGAGAAGCGACCUCGCGAGAGCAAGCGGACCUCAUAAAGUGCGUCGUAGUCCGGAUUGGAGUCUGCAACUCGACUCCAUGAAGUCGGAAUCGCUAGUAAUCGUGGAUCAGAAUGCCACGGUGAAUACGUUCCCGGGCCUUGUACACACCGCC
This 1248-nucleotide ribosomal RNA is filed under the name Escherichia coli. RNAcentral's name for it is "bacterial SSU rRNA". It matches the Rfam family "Bacterial small subunit ribosomal RNA", at positions 150 to 1394 of the family's 1533-position model. Lineage: Bacteria; Pseudomonadati; Pseudomonadota; Gammaproteobacteria; Enterobacterales; Enterobacteriaceae. The record is from RNAcentral.